This 253-nucleotide ribosomal RNA is filed under the name uncultured bacterium. RNAcentral's name for it is "partial 16S ribosomal RNA". It matches the Rfam family "Bacterial small subunit ribosomal RNA", at positions 524 to 776 of the family's 1533-position model. The record is from RNAcentral.
UACAGAGGGGGCAAGCGUUGUUCGGAAUUACUGGGCGUAAAGGGCGCGUAGGCGGCCUGCUAAGUCGAACGUGAAAUCCCCGGGCUCAACCCGGGAACUGCGUCCGAUACUGACAGGCUUGAAUCCGGGAGAGGGAUGUGGAAUUCCAGGUGUAGCGGUGAAAUGCGUAGAUAUCUGGAGGAACACCGGUGGCGAAGGCGGCUCACUGGUCCGGUACUGACGCUGAGGUGCGAAAGCGUGGGGAGCAAACAGG